CGAAACGCCUGUACGGAGCAAUACCCGCGNUGAGGGAAGAAGGUCUGUGGAUUGUAAACCUCUUUUGUUAGGGAAGAUAAUGACGGUACCUAACGAAUAAGCAUCGGCUAACUCCGUGCCAGCAGCCGCGGUAAGACGGAGGAUGCAAGCGUUAUCCGGAAUUAUUGGGCGUAAAGCGUACGUAGGCGGUUUUAUAAGUCUGUUGUCAAAGCCCGAGGCUUAACCUUGGAAAGGCAAUGGAAACUGUAAGACUAAAGAGAGAUAGGGGCAGGAGGAAUUCCAGGUGUAGCGGUGAAAUGCGUAGAUAUCUGGAAGAACACCAGUGGCGAAAGCGUCCUGCUGGAUCUCAACUGACGCUGAAGUACGAAAGCUAGGGGAGCGAAUGGGAUUAGAUACCCCAGNUAGUCA
RNAcentral lists this ribosomal RNA (408 nucleotides) under uncultured cyanobacterium. RNAcentral's name for it is "bacterial SSU rRNA". It matches the Rfam family "Bacterial small subunit ribosomal RNA", at positions 376 to 796 of the family's 1533-position model. Lineage: Bacteria; Bacillati; Cyanobacteriota. The record is from RNAcentral.